UACGUAGGGUGCAAGCGUUGUCCGGAAUUAUUGGGCGUAAAGAGCUCGUAGGCGGUUUGUUGCGUCGGCUGUGAAAUCCCGAGGCUCAACCUCGGGUCUGCAGUCGAUACGAGCAAACUAGAGUGUUGCAGGGGAGACUGGAAUCCCUGGUGUAGCGGUGAAAUGCGCAGAUAUCAGGAGGAACACCGGUGGCGAAGGCGGGUCUCUGGGCAACAACUGACGCUGAGGAGCGGAAGCGUGGGGAGCGAACAGG
RNAcentral lists this ribosomal RNA (253 nucleotides) under uncultured bacterium. Its description in RNAcentral is "partial 16S ribosomal RNA". It matches the Rfam family "Bacterial small subunit ribosomal RNA", at positions 524 to 776 of the family's 1533-position model. The record is from RNAcentral.